RNAcentral lists this ribosomal RNA (239 nucleotides) under uncultured bacterium. RNAcentral's name for it is "partial 16S ribosomal RNA". It matches the Rfam family "Bacterial small subunit ribosomal RNA", at positions 95 to 334 of the family's 1533-position model. The record is from RNAcentral.
ACGGCGGACGGGGGAGUAACGCGUGGGUAACCUACCCUGUACACACGGAUAACAUACCGAAAGGUAUGCUAAUACGGGAUAAUAUAUUUGAGAGGCAUCUCUUGAAUAUCAAAGGUGAGCCAGUACAGGAUGGACCCGCGUCUGAUUAGCUAGUUGGUAAGGUAACGGCUUACCAAGGCGACGAUCAGUAGCCGACCUAAGAGGGUGAUCGGCCACAUUGGAACUGAGACACGGUCCAA